AAACCAAUGAAGUUUACUUCGUUGGGGUUGCGGACAUACAACAUGGAUGCAAUAUCGUAAAUGAAGAGAGUUGGAAAGCUCCGCCAUAGAAGGUAAUAGCCCUGUAGUUGAAACGAGAAAGCUACUAGUAUGAUCCAGAGUACCACGGGACACGUGAAACCCUGUGGGAAGCAGGAGGGACCAUCCUCCAAGCCUAAAUACUACCCAGUGACCGAUAGCGUAUAGUACCGUGAGGGAAAGGUGAAAAGAACCCCGGGAGGGGAGUGAAAGAGAACCUGAAACCCUACACUUACAAGCUGUGGGAGCACAUUUCUUGUGUGACCGCGUACUUUUUGUAGAACGGGCCAACGAGUUACGUUAAGUAGCAAGGUUAAGCACUUAAGGUGUGGAGCCGUAGCGAAAGCGAGUCUUAAAUGGGCGAUUAAGUUACUUGGCGUAGACCCGAAACCGGGCGACCUAUCCAUGAGCAGGUUGAAGCGAAAGUAAAAUUUCGUGGAGGACCGAACCCACGAGCGUUGAAAAGCUCGGGGAUGACUUGUGGAUAGCGGUGAAAUUCCAAUCGAACCCGGAGAUAGCUGGUUCUCCCCGAAAUAGCUUUAGGGCUAGCCUCAAGCGUAGAGAAACGGAGGUAGAGCACUGAAUGUCCUAGGGGGUAUUGCACUUACCGAAGACUAUCAAACUCCGAAUGCCGUUUUCUUUUACUUGGGAGUCAGACUGUGGGUGAUAAGAUUCAUAGUCAAAAGGGCAACAGCCCAGAUCGUCAGCUAAGGUCCCUAAAUGUACGUUAAGUGGUAAAGGAUGUGGGAUUGCACAGACAACCAGGAUGUUGGCUUAGAAGCAGCCACUCAUUUAAAGAGUGCGUAAUAGCUCACUGGUCGAGUGAUUUUGCGCCGAAAAUUUAACGGGGCUAAACUGUACACCGAAGCUUGGGAAUAUACAUUUGUAUGUUGGUAGGAGAGCGUUGUGUAAGGGGUGAAGUCGUAGCGAAAGCGGCGGUGGACUUUACACAAGUGAGAAUGCCGGAAUGAGUAGCGAGAAUUAUGUGAGAAUCAUAAUGGCCGAAAGACUAAGGUUUUAGAAGGAAGGUUCGUCCGCUUCUAGUUAGCCGGGAGCUAAGGCGAGGCCGAGAGGCGUAGUCGAUGCACAUACGGUUGAGAUUCCGUAGCUACCUUGCAUUUAAGCGAAGGGACACAUUUGAAGGGCAUGACCCGGGCGUUGGUUGACCCGGGCGUAAGGGACCGAAAAUAAGUAGGGAAGCAUGCUUGGAUGGUGGCGAGAAAAGCUUCGUGUAUAUAAGCAGGGUACCCGUACUGCAAACCGACACAGGUAGUCAGGAAGAGGAUUCUAAGGCCAUCGGGAGAAGCGUUGUUAAGGAACUCGGCAAAUUGACCCCGUAACUUCGGAAUAAGGGGUGCUCACGCGAGUGAGCCGCAGUGAAUAGGUCCAGGCAACUGUUUAUCAAAAACACAGCUCUCUGCUAAAUCGUAAGAUGACGUAUAGGGGGUGACACCUGCCCGGUGCUGGAAGGUUAAGAGGAGGGGUGCAAGCUCCGAAUUGAAGCCCCAGUAAACGGCGGCCGUAACUAUAACGGUCCUAAGGUAGCGAAAUUCCUUGUCGGGUA
This 1621-nucleotide ribosomal RNA is filed under the name human gut metagenome. Its description in RNAcentral is "bacterial LSU rRNA". It matches the Rfam family "Bacterial large subunit ribosomal RNA", at positions 271 to 1978 of the family's 2925-position model. The record is from RNAcentral.